ACUUUAUGGACCUAAUAAUUUAAAGAAUUUGAUUAAUAUAAUUUAACAAAAUUAAAUAGAUAAACUAGCUAAUCUCAAUCCUCCCACUGACUUCACCAAGUCAGAUCAGGGUAGACUAAAAAUAAUCUGAUCCAAUUGACAAUCAUCAAUCCUUCGACUGACUUCACCAAGUCAUGUCAAGGAUAAAGACAAGUUGAGCUAGGGGCACCUAAAUCAAUUGAACUGAUUUUUUAGUAAGCAUGGGUCAAUCCUAAUCAUUAAGCGAUUUGAUCAAAACAUGAUUCACCAUGUUGGCCAAGUAAGUG
This 305-nucleotide long non-coding RNA is filed under the name Elaeis guineensis (African oil palm). RNAcentral's name for it is "long non-coding RNA (EGUI_LNC068537)". The record is from RNAcentral. Lineage: Eukaryota; Viridiplantae; Streptophyta; Magnoliopsida; Arecales; Arecaceae.